Papaver somniferum (opium poppy) is the source of this 3062-nucleotide RNA transcript. It is a transcript of the gene named cell division protein FtsZ homolog 2-2, chloroplastic-like, with no coding region annotated. The record is from RefSeq and is a predicted model, not a curated record. The transcript is spliced from 9 exons. NCBI's taxonomy places the organism in Eukaryota, Viridiplantae, Streptophyta, Magnoliopsida, Ranunculales, Papaveraceae.
UAGUAGUUCUGAGCGGACCAAACUAGAGAGACCAAAAUCACAAAAACCCUUUCUAGGGCUCUCCCUCACUCUUCACUCCAGUGAAGACGCAGCCCUCAAUUUCAUCCUCUCUUCCACACAAAUUCAACUCCAAAAACUAAAUUCUCCACUAUAUUUCUCUCGAUCGAAUAAGAUUUGAUUCCAAAUGUUCGGCGACGGCUGAAUAUUUCCGAGGAUUCCUCUUCUCAUACUGGUCCGUUUCUAUUGAGAUUUCGGUGUUUUACUACUUGGUUGUUGACUUGUUGGUGAAGAUGGCAACAACAACAACUCAGCUGCCAUGCUUGUCACCUGGGCAAAGGGUUAUGUUGGAUAGUCGAAUGGGUGGAAUUAGUUUGAACAAGAUGAUGUUUAAUAAUAAUGUGAUGGUUGGUUCGAAGAGUAUAAGUUUGAGUUCACAGCGAUUUAGAUGUUCAUCACUUAAUAAUAAUUCGCGUAGUAAUGGGAUUAACCCUUUCUUGAAUUUACAUCCUGAAGUGUCUAUGUUGAGAGGUAAUGAAAGAAUUGACACGGUUAUUAAUCCGAAAAAUGAUGGGUCGAUUGGGAAAAUUACUGAGAGUUUGAUUGAUUCGUCUAUCCCGGAGGAGAAUUACAGUACAGCUAAGAUUAAAGUUAUUGGUGUUGGUGGUGGUGGGUCGAAUGCUGUUAAUAGAAUGAUUGAGAGUAAUAUGAAAGGGAUUGAGUUUUGGAUUGUUAACACGGAUAUUCAAGCUAUGAGAAUGUCGCCUGUGUUUCCGGAUAACCGGUUGCAAAUUGGUCAGGAGCUGACUAGGGGUCUUGGUGCUGGUGGUAACCCUGAUAUUGGUAUGAAUGCUGCUAAAGAGAGUAGAGAAGCUAUUGAAGAGGCACUUUAUGGUUCUGACAUGGUAUUUGUAACGGCUGGAAUGGGUGGAGGAACUGGCACUGGUGGGGCCCCAAUACUUGCAGGGAUUGCUAAAUCAAUGGGCAUUUUGACCGUUGGUAUUGUUACAACACCGUUCUCCUUUGAAGGGCGAAGACGAGCGGUUCAAGCACAGGAAGGAACUGCUGCUUUGAGAGACAAUGUUGACACUCUGAUUGUCAUUCCAAAUGACAAAUUGUUGACUGCUGUCACCCAGAAUACCCCUGUAACAGAAGCAUUUAAUUUGGCUGAUGAUAUACUUCGUCAAGGUGUUCGUGGUAUCUCUGACAUAAUUACGAUUCCAGGCCUUGUAAAUGUUGAUUUUGCUGAUGUGCGAGCCAUUAUGGCUAAUGCAGGCUCGUCUUUGAUGGGGAUAGGAACUGCAACAGGCAAGACCAGGGCAAGAGAUGCUGCAUUAAAUGCCAUCCAAUCACCCUUACUAGACAUUGGCAUAGAAAGGGCUACUGGAAUCGUGUGGAACAUCACUGGUGGAAGUGAUUUAACUUUAUAUGAGGUAAAUGCUGCAGCAGAGGUAAUAUAUGACCUUGUUGAUCCAAGUGCAAAUUUGAUAUUUGGAGCAGUUAUAGAUCCAUCACUCAGUGGUCAAGUAAGUAUAACUCUGAUUGCCACUGGAUUCAAACGGCAAGAAGAAGCUGAAGGAAGGCCUCCUGUUCAGGGUAAAUUGCAGGGAACUCAGUUACCAAAUGGGGACAUCAACCUUGGCGGAAUGAAUCGACGACCUUCCUCUUUCAACGAAGGCAGCUCAGUGGAGAUCCCUGAAUUCCUGAAGAAAAAAGGCCGACGCUUUCCCAGAGCUUGACAAAUUCUUUUGUAAUAUAUUACACCCUUUUUUACAUUGUUUUUCAGUUUAGCAGGACUAUAUCUACAUUUCCACUAGUUGUUUUUUCAUGUCUAGCCUAGACCCCACUCUCUGUUGCUUUUACUAGUUUUGAAGUGAUAAAUAAGUAAAGUCAUGUUGAAUUGCAGUCAUACAUUCAUCUGUUUUUUUGCCUGGCUGCUAAUGCGUGGUGCCAAUUUGCAGCUAUUCUCUGUUUUUUUCUAUACCUGAUAUUUUUGAAAUUUGAAACUGAUGUUUGCAACUUGGUUCUCAGAAUCUGGACUUUAGUACUAGAUCUAGGGGUUGCUCUUAGUUCUGUGGGGGGUACUUUGUGGAGAAUGAUAACAGGGUGUUAUAAUGAUUGAUGUGGAAAAGAGUGGUUUGAAAUGCCCUUUUCAUAGAAUGACUAGUGAACCACACAAAAGAUGAAUAGACACGUACAAAUAUCAGAAGCCACAUACAAUUGGAGAAGCAGAAUAAUGACGUGUAAACUAACAUCCCACCAGUUCAGUCUCUCUCUACUUAUAUACUCUCCCCACACCCAUCUUAAAGUUCAGUUCAGAAUCCUUUUUCUCCACAAUCUUCAAGCUUAGGUGUCGCCAGAUAUGGUUAGUCCUAAGCGUAAUUUCUCCGAUCACCUGCAGAAGGUCUCGCCGAUUCCUUCAGAAUCAGUGAAACCUCAUCUGUCUAGCAACAGUUGGGUGGUUGAAAUCAAAGAAGCCCCACCAGCUUUGAUUCCUAUUGGAAUUGUUAAAGAACCAGCAGCCAAAUUUGAUGCAUUGGUUGAUGAAGAUUCCGGCCGCGAGAAACUAAAGAGACAUAGAGUUGAAGUAGCUGGAAGAGUUUGGAUUCCGGAUAGUUGGGGACAGGAAAAGCUUAUGAAGGAUUGGAUUGAUUGUUCUGCUUUCAAUGCUUCAUUAGUUCCGGCAGGACUAUUGUCGGCUCGACAAGCGUUGAUUGAAGAUAGACGGCGCGCAAACUCUAUUGGAUUAAGGGUAUAAACGAACAGAUGAAGGAGACUACGGUCGGUGAAGCUGUGGUUUCUAGCCCUUCGAGGAGCUGAAAAUUGAUUCGGGAUGAAAAGAAAAAGCGCUAGAGGUUACGAGGUGACUAUGGUAUGCUUAUGGGUAUUGAUCAAAAUAACAAAUUUUUCUUUGUAAUAUUAAAGACAAAAAUUCUUGAGACAGUGUAUAUAUAUCAGCUUAGCAAACGACUCUGUAAGAAUCUUGGUUUUCUUAUGCUGAUGAGUUUUAUUUUGUGAUGAUCUUGUUUCAACUUAACCAACUAAAUUUGGAUUUCUACUGCGAA